This 4129-nucleotide unclassified non-coding RNA is filed under the name Hevea brasiliensis (rubber tree). Lineage: Eukaryota; Viridiplantae; Streptophyta; Magnoliopsida; Malpighiales; Euphorbiaceae. The record is from RNAcentral.
AGCAAGGAGCGUUGUGCUAAGAAGGCCCACGUUAUCCUGGCAGAACUAACGGAACCAUAUUACUCUCCUCAAAUUCUUUUCAACUGUUCCUCGACUUCUUCAGUUGUCUCCAAUCUCACACCCAUAUGCCAGAAUCAAGACUGCAAAUUAAGACAUAACCAUGGCUAUGUCUUUCCCCUAUUCACAAUUUCCUACCAUUUCAAUCCCUUCUAGGAAGUACAAAUCCGUGCACAUUCCUACACUGCAUCAUCAACCCUCAAAAUCAAAAAGCCCAGUACUCCACCUUUGCCCGCCCGUUCUUGAGCGACUUUACAAGAACCUUUAAAUGCCAGGCUCAAAAGCAGCAAGAAUAUCAAGUUGAAAGGCUAUUUUCCAACCUUAACCAAGCCACGCUCAAGAGAGAACCUGGUACUCAAUUUCCUCACUUUCAUUAAUUAUUUUUUUGGGUCACUUCAGAAAUUUUUAGAGGUGUUUCUUUGGUUGAUGGGAUGGGAGCCCAAAUGGCCACUUCGUAAAUGUCCAUACUAAAAUAGAUGGGGCACUCGAACAUGAGAUUUCACCUUCCUAAUGCCCUUAAACAGUAAGAGUAAGAACUAAGAACCAAUCAGAUUGGGCCUGAUUGGCCAAGAGGUGCUUUUAGUAUUCUGAUUAACCUUGACAUUGUACAAUAUAUAAUUAGUAUAAGGUAUGCUUGUGCAUUGGACCGAUGGAUUACUGAUCGAGUGGCUUCUGAUUAAUUUAUAUAUGCUUACAGCUUUAUUGCAAAAUCUUAUCAAGUUCUCUUGUUUUCUCUUUCACCAGGAAGUUUAUCUAGUGCAAUAUUUCUGGUCGCGGGUACAACGGUAUCCAUUCUGGUUACAUUACAAAGGCACAUUAAUCAUAUUAUUACUAUAAUUAGUGAAUGUGAUUAAUUGAAUCUCUUGAAUGUGAUUAAUUGAAUCUCUAGGUAGGUGCUGGGAUCCUGGCAAUUCCUGCGGUUACUCAAGAAGCUGGUUUUUUGGCCUCCGCAGUGGCCUGCAUUGUAUGUUGGAUAUUUAUGGUUGCUACUGGGCUGCUCAUUGCUGAAGUAAAUGUGAACACAAUGUGUGAAUUGGGUUCGGGUGGUGUAUCAUUGGUGUCAAUGGCCAGGAGAACUCUGGGAACGGCCGGAGUUCAAAUUGCAUGGUAGGCUGACAAGUCAUUUAUGCCUUUAUCUCUUCGACUAGUAGAUUUAGAAAAAAUUAACUAGAUAGAUGUUGGUUUUUGGCAUAAGUUGUCAGAAUUCUGGAAGAAGUCAUUUGUGUUGUUUUUCAUAGUUCACAUGUUCUGCAGUAAGCUAUCUUUGUGGAGUAACUGCUGGCAAUCAUCAGUCUCUUCUAUAGCACAACCAUUUGGUUGUUUAGGGUACUGGCUUCACAGUUCACACAACCUCACCAAAUAGCAAGCCCCUCAACCCUAUCCACAGACAACUCAUUGAUUCUUUUCAUCAAUUGGAAAGCUGUACACUGAAUAUUCAUGGAAUUAUUCCAAGUACACAUCAGUUUAUCUACAAUGAAACUGCUUGGUGAUUUAAACUAUUGUUUUGUGAUGACCAAUCUGCUGAAAGUUAGUGCCAUGCAGAAAGAUGAAUGCUGUAAUUUCUAAUUCCAAACUAUGAAAUUCUAAGGGUGAUAAGCACUUUUUAGAACUCUAUUUCUAAUGAUAUCCAAUAACUUGGUCAUUUGAAAUGGAAUUCAGCAUUCAUUUCAGAUCAGCUGCUGCUGUUGCCAUUAGUGUUAUUGUUGUUAUUAUGUAUGCAAAAAUGAUAGUUCCUAGAAGGCCCUUACUAUUGUAAUGGCUGGACAAUAAAGGUGUGUUUACCACAAGCUACACUUUGCUAUACAAUCCUUGUAUGAGGACAAUCAUCAUCUCUUGUACUGCACUAAUUAUAAAUGGAACAUACCACACUCUCCUAGAUGUCUCUAAAGUUCACUUGCAACACUCUCCUGUUGCAUGACAGUUUUCUGAGUCCUCACAAUGUCAAAGUUUGAUAUUUAUAUUGUGAUAAGAUAAAUCAUAUUUUGACUUAAGAAUGAUCAAAACAAUUAAACAUCUUAAGAUUGAUCAAUUUAGCAAGAAAGCUUCCAUUCUGCUUUGCAAUAAUAUAAUUUGCUUAUAAAUCUGCAGCUGCUAAUUCAUUACCAAUGUUUGUUUAGCAUUUUCAACAAAAUGGAUCAUACAUACUUUUGAUAUUCACUUUUAUGGUCAUAUAAAUCCUUUAAAUUCAUAUUUUUAUACUUGUUGCCAUCUAAAUUCUUUUAUGGGAAUACCUUUGCUGUUGAGUAAUUUUCUUGUGCAAUGUUUUCUUGAACUGUAACUAUCAUUCUAUUGUAUAAUGGUCUUGCAGUUGGACAUACAUUUUCAUCCAUUAUGCCCUUUUAGUUGCGUAUGUGGCUCGUUCUUCAGAAAUUUUGACAAACUUUCUCGGCAUUCCAUUGUACGAACCAUAAUUCUAAUAAUUCUACGUGUCUAAGCAAUCCAUAUUUACGCAUCUGAAUUUGCAGCCUUGCCAGUAGCCCUUAUGGAUCUUAUUUUGGGGGGAAUUUUGUACAUCUAUUAGGUGUUGACUCGCUGCAAUUUGCAGAUGGGAAAGUGCAGCAUUGUUCUCUUUGGUUUUUGGAGGCAUAUGCUACUUUGGGAGGUUAGUGUUACUUUCUCAUCUAUUAUGAGUUUGAAGGCUUAGAAGUAUUUGUAUUAGCUAUGUUCUAGUGGUGUAAGUGUAUCAACUAAUGCUUGAUAAAAUAAGUAGUGUUUCUGAUGCCAUGAUCUUUUGUUUUACGUAUUAUCUAAACUAAAGCUUUUGCAAACCAUUAAAUGAUAGUAAUAUGGUCAAUUCUUUAAAAUGCAUGUCUUCUGUUGAAACUUGGUAGGUUAUGUAUAGGAUAUAUGAGAUGAAUUUUGUUGUCUUUUCUUUUUAAAUUUUCUAGUUUCUGUACUACAAGUUGACACCUCUCUCUCUCUCAUUAAUUAAAUGAAGUAAAAUUAACUUUUCACUUUUCUUAAUUUGUAGUCAGCGCUUCAUUGGUGCUGUUAAUGGGGUUCUAGUAUUUGGAAUCAUUAUUUCUUUCGCAGCUCUUGUGGUAAUUCUCUCCCUUGAUGAAUAUGUUAGUUUUUGUGUUUCAAUUAUCCAGGCAUUUUUGCAAAUUUUACUUUAAUAUAUCAAACACUCUUUUUAUUCCAUGGCUAAGCUAUCUACCAAGGAGGACAGUCUCGUCUCAUUCCAUAAACCCCUCACUUCCACCUGAAUGGUUUGGAAUUGAGACUUCCAAAUUGGAGACCCCAAUCUCUAUUCACUUACUUGUCCCCUUGGGGACACUUGAAUAAAAAAAUUAAUGGAUAUGCAACUAGGAUCAUAAUUACUCAAUGAUGUUAGUUUCCUAGAAACAAAAUCAUUAAGAUGUACCAUAAAGCAAAUACAAUUGAAUUGAGUGAAGUCCACAUGUGCAAGAAGGGGAAAAAAGGAUAGAGACAGUACAGUCCUUGUACAAAUUCCUGGAAACUCAUAAAUAUUUUUUUCAUUUGUUUUUAUCAGGUUGCCAUAGUAGCUUUGAAUAAGACAUGUCUUAAAUCAGUGAGUUAGAUAGUUUACAGUUGCUGGGUUUGUGGGAAAACUGCUCUAUUGCAAGAAAAGGAUACAUCACAUUCAAAUUGGAUUUUCAUUUAUAGAUUUUAUACCCAUUUCAGAUGUAGUGCAACGUGUUUCCUCUAUGGAACUCCUAAUAUAAAAGUUAAUUCAAACUGCACCAAAAUUGUUGGAUUUUAGAACCUUGCAUUUUUAAGGCUUCCAAGUCUUUACAGGCUUAACUUCCCCUUAGUAGUUGUCAAAGACAUUAUCUCAUGAUAGAGCUGUGGACAUCAUGAAAGAGUUUCUGAUCCUGAGUGCAGUCUCUAAUGUGAACACAUAAUGCAGAGAAUAAGUGUUUUGUUCGUUAGUCAAAACUUGUGUGCCCAUGCUAAGCCUAAUCUACCAAGAAAGGUUGGCAUGUGAGCAAGAGUGUUGGACAAAGUGUAAUUCUUCUACACCUUACUUCUGUGGAAAUUCGAAAAGAAGAAAACUACAUUCUGAUACUUGCAUGAAUUGAUAUAUAUAUAUAAUGUUUUGGUGGCAAGU